RNA transcript from Cololabis saira (Pacific saury), 9166 nucleotides. It is a transcript of the gene named CUGBP Elav-like family member 6, with no coding region annotated. The record is from RefSeq and is a predicted model, not a curated record. The transcript is spliced from 14 exons. NCBI's taxonomy places the organism in Eukaryota, Metazoa, Chordata, Actinopteri, Beloniformes, Belonidae.
GAGAGAGAGAGAGAGCAGCCCGCCGGCCCAUUGAGGAAAGAUGGCUACAGUCACUGCAAACGGAGUGCAGCAAGAGAAUGGAUUCAGCACCACGAACAGCGCCGGCAGGAUGAACGGUCUUACCAUCGUCCAGAACACCAUUCCAAUGAAGGACCACGACGCCAUCAAGCUUUUCAUCGGCCAGAUUCCCAGAAACCUGGAGGAAAAAGACCUGAAACCCUUGUUUGAGGAAUUCGGAAAGAUAUACGAACUCACUGUACUGAAAGACAGAUUUACGGGAAUGCAUAAAGGAUGUGCCUUUCUUACAUACUGUGCCAGAGAGUCAGCACUGAAGGCCCAGAGCGCCCUCCAUGAACAGAAGACUCUGCCAGGGAUGAACCGGCCCAUCCAGGUGAAGCCAGCCGACAGCGAAGGACGGGGAGAAGACAGGAAGCUGUUUGUGGGGAUGCUCGGCAAGCAGCAGAGCGAAGACGAUGUCCGGCGGCUGUUCGAGACCUUCGGCCAGAUUGAGGAGUGCACCGUCCUUCGAGGGCCUGAUGGGGCCAGUAAGGGCUGUGCCUUUGUUAAGUUCUCCAGCCACGCUGAAGCGCAAGCGGCCAUCAACAGCCUGCAUGGUGGACAAACGAUGCCUGGUGCCUCGUCCAGCCUGGUGGUCAAAUUUGCAGACACCGAUAAGGAGAGGACCCUGCGCAGGAUGCACCAGAUGGCAGGCCAGCUCGGCAUCUUCAGUCCCAUGACCAUCCAGUUUGGGGCCUAUGGCGCCUACUCUCAUGCUGUAAGUCUCAGCCCGGCGGGGGAGGAGACGCAGAUGAUGCAACAGCAAGCAGCCCUGAUGGCAGCAACACAAGGGUCCUACCUGAACCCAAUGGCAGCCAUUGCUGCCGCACAAAUGCAGCAAAUGGCAGCUUUCAAUGUCAACGGUCUGGUGGCUACUCCCAUGACACCAUCCUCAGGCACCAGCACACCCCCAGGCAUUUCUGCCACAGCAGUGCCCAGCAUAGCCACCCCUAUCGGGGUCAAUGGAUUUAGUGCCCUCCCGCCUCAAAGCAACGGCCAGCCCACAUCUGAGCCUAUCUACACCAAUGGUAUUCAUCCUUACCCAGCACAGAGUCCAACGGUGACUGACCCUCUCCAACAGGCUUAUGCUGGCGUCCAGCACUACGCAGCAGCCUACCCUGCCGCCUAUGCGCCAAUCAGCCAAGCGUUCCCCCAGCAACCAACCAUCAUUCCCCAGCAACAGAGGGAAGGGCCAGAAGGUUGCAACCUGUUUAUUUAUCACCUGCCCCAGGAGUUUGGAGACGCUGAGCUCAUGCAAAUGUUCCUACCUUUCGGCAACGUCAUCUCUGCCAAAGUAUUUGUGGACCGAGCAACUAAUCAGAGCAAAUGCUUCGGCUUUGUAAGUUUUGAUAACCCGUCCAGUGCUCAAGCCGCUAUCCAGGCGAUGAAUGGCUUUCAGAUAGGCAUGAAGAGGCUGAAGGUGCAGCUAAAGCGGCCAAAGGAUGCCAACCGACCUUAUUGACUCGUCUGCUGUCCAUACCCAGUGUGAGGUGGCCUUUCCACGCUAUAAGCCACACACCCCCCGACACCAGUCAUGGGGCCAAGUUCCCACAGCUGAUGAAGGGCCACAACACCUUAUUUCCACAAGUGCAGUAAAAGUACAAAGACUUCUUGUUCUGCUACAUAUCAUGAAGGAAGGGUGGUCCCUUGAUCCUCCUGGAAAGCCGCUGAAAGAUUGGGUGACUGAAAGAAGGAUCCCAGAGUUGUUGGGUUUUUUUUCCUCUAUUUUUUUUAAGUUUAUUUUUUUCUUUCUUCGCAAAUGCCUCUUUUUUCCCCGUUUUUUGCUUUGGUGUAUGUGGAAGAAGAUUUUUUGAAGAGACCAACUUUUUGCUGCUGUUUUUUAGACAUGAUGGGGAAAAAAAAAACCUUUAUAGACUCAUUAUGCUCAAAGCAUGCAUACCAACACCAGAUAUAGAUACACACAUACAAACAGAAGAUAAACCAAACACACAUUUAAGCUACAGUAAACAAAUGAAAAACUGAAAAGGAAAAAAAAACAUUAAAAAACUUACUUUGUAUAUGUAUAGAUACGUGCAAAUGCCAACAACAGUACUGAAGCAAAGUCAUGAGUUCACACACACACACACAUAUACACACAAAAAACACACACACCAGCCUGCUGCCAUUUUGGUUUUUGUGCCUACACAGGUGUUGUGCUCUGUGACAGGGCAAGCUCUGGAUCAAAGAAGAAAACAAGAAGAAAAGGAGAGAAGUGGAGAAUCCAGGAUAAUUAACAUGCAUCAUUCCUUAGGAAAUAGGGACCAAAGGACUAAACGCUUUUUAAAAGAUUAUAAAUAUAUAAAUAUAUAAAUAUAUAUUUAAAAAAAAACUCAUACCUUGUAGCUGCAAGUAUUACAAUUUACUUAUAGUCAAAAAAAAUCAUUAAAUCAAUAUCCAGUGGCCUACUGUAAGUAUGAAUAAAAGAAAAUGGAAAUAAUGUAUUAAAAAAAAGGAAAAAAAAAAGACAUGGAAUCGUAGUGUAGGGGCUGAUCUUUUGCUCUGGAUGCUGAUUUAGCACCAAGUUGUAGAAUAGUGAAGUAGUCUAGAAAAAAAUGUAGAUUUGCUAACUUUUGCUGUUGUUUAAAGAAAAAAAAAAUAAAAGUAAUACUUGAAGCUGUAAUGAAAAAGGGGUAAAUGAAGGGAUGAAAGGAAAAAAAAAACUGAUCCACCCUCGUGGCAACAAGUCUGUUUCUCUUGGAUGUUAAAAGGUACCAGCCACUGGAUAUCUCACUCAUCGUGAUGUAUAAGUCACCAGAUUCUCUGACAGCUAUGAACAGACUGUUCUGGAAGACAAAAAAAAGAGAAAAAAAAAGGAUGACAAGUGAAAAAAGACUGAACUUACUGAUGUCUGUGCUGGUCAGAGUGCAGAUGUUUAAGGCUACUUUGCUGGCCUUUGUGUUCAAGUGACAAUCCACUGUAAAGACCAAGUAAAAAUGGACAUGGGGUGUCUUGUACUUUUUUUUUUGUUUUGUUUUUUUUGUUUUUUUUUUCCUCAAACCACAAGUUGUUAGAAGGAGUCGAAAGGGAUCCGACUGGUCACAAGGGAAACAGCGGAGCAGGGAUAAAGGAAGGUGUGAGGCGACAGCUACUGAAACUGCCAGGAGAAUGAACUCAGUUUAGUAAUGAGUUGGCCCAUGUGUGGUGUUCCCUCAAACAAAAAGGAUGCCGAUCAACCAGGACAUCUGCAAGUGACUUAUCAAGACUGCGCGUGUCCACUGGUGAUGCUGCAAAACUUCAAACUGAGACCCAUUUCAUCUUGUCUUCUUGGCAGAUAAAGAGAAACAUUUCUCUGAGGACAAGUUCAGUUCAACACUGAUGGCAAAGAAGCUCGGGCUUUUGGAGCUUUUUCAGCUCCGACAAAUAUAAUAUAUACAAAUUCAAGUGUUAACAUGUUCACCGACCUGCUUUUCUUAAAGAAAUUACGAGAAAAAAAACAUUCAAUAUAUCACUCAAAAAGGCAAAAUACUAUAUAAAUGUUAACAGUCACUCUUAACUGUGGUUCAUGCCUGUAGCUUCUCUGACUCUGACGGAGCGAAGCGAUCCAGUGCUGUCAUGUCUUGGAGUCCACAAGCCUUUCUUUUGACUGUUUUAGGGCUGUGCGAGCAGGCUCCUCUCUCCUACCAGAUCAAUAUGUUUGGAGUGGAUCUAGAGGGAGGAGCGAUGCUGUUUCAGUCACUACGAACACUUCCCAAUUUUCCCCGCAGAACACCAGCUCACAUCCGCACACCAGCCCUUCUGAGCACUGACAGCUGGCAUUAAGAGGCAGGAUAAGGCAAGAAGGAGAGGAAGUCAACAACUCAUCACAGCAAGAGCCUUCUGCGUUGUGUCUAAGUUGUUGCAGAUUAAUUGAACCAAUAAAAUUAGAAGCUAUAAUCAAGUCCAUGGUGACAAACAUUAUAGAAUUGGGCUAUAUGCUUUUCCAAGACCCCAGACUUAAGGGUUAAUGAGGACUGAAUUUGAUACAUCUGGGAACCGGUCCAACCAGUUCAUACUUCCUACUGAGACUCUUCUUCUUGCUUUUACCCUCUCCCCUCUUUCAUUUUUGAAAUCUGUUUCUGUUUUCUGACAUGUUGCAUAUCAGAAACGCAAGGAUUGAUCAAAUGUGCCAGCAUAUUACAGUUUUUUAAUGCACUGCCUUUGUCAUUUAAAUAAGCUCGUGGUCUUGAUAUCAGUCCAUGAUAUCAGCAUGCCUUGUACCGCCUACUUUUUCGCUGCAGCUUACAGCAGCCAUGCCUUUCCAAACCGCAGCACGUCUCUCCCCUUAGAAGAGCAUUUUCAAACCUGGCUAAUGCCUGUGCUCUCUACCCUUCAAUUAUCUCCCGCACCAUAUUAGACAUGCUAUUUCACCUUUCCCUCUAAUCACACUGUAAUCAUCGGCCUCUAUACAUUAGCAGCAACCGAGUGAAAAAUCACUGGGAUAAUCACUUGGCCCAAAUGACGGGAAAGAUGGUCCCCUGCAUGCACAUGGAUGACAAAAGGAAGAUUAGGGAGAAUUAUGUUUGUGCCUACUCCCUGGCAAGGCUGCUGACAGCUGACCUGGCAAAAAUAAUACAGCUGAAUUAACUGAAGAGACGACGGAGGAUCGGAACAAAACCAUCCGUAUUAUACAGUAACAAGGUGUUAAUGUUGCACAUCAGAUUGACAUAAAAAUAACAGAAGAGAAAUGCAGUGAGCAACAUGUUUUGUUUUUGCUUUUACGUGACCAAAAAAAAGGCCACAGCAGUUGCUCAAAACUGGGUCAAAACCAACCAAUCUUGCUGGAAGUGUUGAGUCUGACAAAAGCAGCUGCCUGCGUUAUUGUGAUUCUUUUUUUCAGCAACAAAAAUGGCAUCGCAGCAGUCAACGACAGAAGUCGCCGUGUUUCACAAAACAACUUCUCAUUUCUGCCUUUUCCUUGCUCGGAUCCCUGCAACGACACCUGCAAAGCACACUUUUGUUCAAGAAUAACCUGAUAAUAUGAAGCACAGCUAUCCAGAUUCAAAAUGAUGUCUAUCUUUUUUUUAUUUUUUUUUUAUUCCCCCCAAUGCAUUUUAAAAGGGCAUACAUGUGAAAACCCAGUUCCUCUACCCCUGAUUAAAUCCUGCGGAAAUGAAGGAAGCCGUAUGAAUUAGUUCAAAACCGAGCCAUGUUCUCCAAACAAUUUGUGUUCAUUUUCUAUGUGAAGCUGAACUGAUCAAUGGGCAGACUAAUGUUCCAUGGGCAAUCAGGUGUACUGUUCUUGUCUCGGCGAUCUCCAGAAUAUGCUCGGUAACAUGAAUCUUGCAUGCAUGCUCCGCUGAACUUCUCUGUCCUCUAUCGGAUGCUGUACUCGCUCCCACUACUAAUAGCACGUCGAAUCCCUAGUGGGCCAAAACCCAGCCAAGCCUCCUACCGUGCUGCCUGGCUUGGCUAAUAACGCAGCUCUUGUGUAGCAUAACCGCUAUGCUACGCCAGGACUAAAUUUGAUCAUGUAAUAUUAACAUUUCAAUACUAUUAACAAGGGUGCUUCUACAUUUACAUCCUUGGAAGAUUGCUGUUGAAGUGACAGGCAUUAAAAGCCAGGGACAGCAGUGUAACAUUCAAGGGGACUUAAGAAAUAAGUGGAAAAAGUGUGUUUUGUGCUCAUUGUCCAUUUAUUUAUUUAUGUAUUUAUUAUCUACUUUAUUGCACAUUUUACUUCCUAUAUUGUCUCUAGAUUAAUACCAGUGUGGUUCUCAGUCCACAGUAUCUUUCGCCUCCAUGAGCACUAUGAAAUGUCAACCCUGCGGGCACACAAAAAGUUUUAGCUGGAAUCUGAUUUGACAUCUGCCUUCAAAUUUACCACGAGGUAAUAGGAAUUCACAUUUUACAGAGAAAGAAUAGGGAUGCAUCCAAUUAAGAUAACCUUUCUUUUGAUAUGUAUAGCUCCAAAGGUGUCUCGGUUACACUAUACUGCCUUUAUCAAGCAUCUAACCAUCUCUAAUCAUCACGGAGGUGGAGGGUAUAUUUAAAUUCAACAGUUGUUUCCUUUUUUUUUGGUUUGUUUUGGUUUUUCUUUCACAGUGAUUUACAAAAUUUGCAUGUACCAAUUUAGAAAUUUGGAGACUGUAUAUAUCAUACCCAUUUCAGCUGCCAAUACACCACCGCUCACAAAGCUUAGAGUGGCACGCAUCCUCGGAGGCUCGUGGCCAAUGGCAGCACAGAGCGGAGGACUGCUUGAGCAUGAACAUCUAACCCCCUGGGUGCAUAACAUUCACCCUGAAAAUAGCAGUGAUUGUCAAGAAAAGGAAGUGAAAUGUAAUUGACUGAAAGUGGAGAGAUAAUUAAAGGAACCUGUUGGACAGGAGGGAAGAAAUUAAUGCCUCUCAUUUAAUAGCUGCUUUACGAGAGAGAGCAUUUCCGUCAUCUCAUUUUUGGUGCAGAAAACGUCUCGCUGUGGAAAUGGGAUUUUGCAUAGGAAAAAGGUGGAGGCAAUGAUGGUGGAAAUGGGCACUGGGUGGAAGGAAGGGGCGCUGUGUGCUAAACUGAAACUCCACAAAAUCACUCCCAAUACUCAGGCAUCAGGCAUAUUGAUGUCACGAUUAGUGGAGAGGUUCAGAGCCUUGGCUUACCCCUGAUCCUGGAGGUCGAGCAGAUAAAGAUGAGGACAAUGUUGGAGCUGCGCAAACUGUACUGCAUUCUGGGGGGGGGGGGGGCAGAGCCAGCAAACAUGUUGAUAAACCACCUAAAUCGUGCUUCGGACUCACAAGAAGAGCAUUCAAUUCCAAGGGUAACAAGCAAACAACAAAGAGACCAUCUUCCAGCCAACGACAUGCAGUGGAUUGCUGGAAGUGUGGUUCUAUACGCUUAACUACACAACUGAGAGUAAUGAAGGCAAAGACUUUUUUUUAUUAUUCCUUCUUAAUGUAAAUAGCCUUUAAAAUACAAAAAAAAAAAAACAGGGCAAGAUUGUACAGCAACUUGUGUUGAGAAGUCCAGCUCUGUGGGACAAUGAUGUCAUUAUAAAAUGUAUCCACAGCAGUGCAGGGAUUUAGGAGAGUUUUAGUCCUUUUAAGGCCUUAAGGUCUGGGCUGUGAACAUGCACCCUACAGCUCCAAGCGUCGGACCAAGGCGUAGAGAGUGUCUGACUUCAUGUCAAACCUGAGCCACGGCCCUGAAGGGAUCCGUUAAUUAAGAUUCUGUGUACACCGACAUGUCAUGAUUUUUUCUGACAGAAGAAAGAUCGCCUGCGCAGUAAUUGGAUUAGUCCAAUUUGGCCUGAUGAACAGAUAUGACAGUAACAGCAGAGUGUAUCUGUCUGCAUGCUUUCUGCUUGACAGUGUGAAAAAAAAUACUAGAAAGGAAGCAUCAGCUAUCACCAAACUUUUGCAAAGUUAUUUGGAAGCGACAGCUUAGGCUUUACAGCAUUUAAAGAGGCUAGUUUUACAAGAUGAAACUCCAGGAUACAAUUUGUUUAGCAUGUACAUAAACCGUUUUGCAAUCAAGCAUUUAAUACAAAAAGGUUGAAGCUAUAUCUACACGGUUGGGCGAGUUUGGAGGAAGGGGGAGAACAAGAGAUCCACUAUUCUGAGUAGAUCCCAGCAGAACACCGGCUUGCUUGACCCAAUCUGCCACAGCUCUCCUAACCACACAGCUGCAUUAUACCUGUACAUACAAUAUAACUUAUUUUUCAAUUCUGUUUAUCAUUCUUUAUAGCCGUACGAUAGAUCAUGUUAAAACAUUAAAAAAAAGAUUAAAAAAAUAAAAGAAAAGUUAAUAUAUUUCAGUGAAAGUAAGAAAAGGAAAUAUGAAAUAAUUUAUCAAAAACAGAUGAUAAAAGGAUUUUAUUUCUUGUAGAUUGACGCACUGAUGUUAACAAAUGAGAUUUUAUACUCAUGUUGGCAAACAGUUCUUUGUUUGUGUUAUUUUUUUGCUGAAGCUGGGGUAGAACCAUUGUCAUUGAGGUUUAUUCAGAUGUGCUUUAAUCUUGUUUUUAUUUCCCUCUCUUUUCCUUUUCUUUCGCUGCACAAUCCCUGUGUGAAAUCCCACGUGCAUGGACAAGUUUAAAGAGAUUUUACUUCUUGAAUGAUGUUAAACCAAUACAAGAAUUAGCAAACUGCACCGGUAAAAGGAUUCAAAUGGAUCAGCAAUGUUUAAAAAUAAAAAUUAUUUAAACCCUUUUGUUGUAUUGAGGAAACAAUGAAAAAAACAUAUUUGAAUAAAUUAGGAAACAAAACAGAAGAGGCAAAAAAAAGAAAAAAACUUUACCAUCACGUUGGUUUGGGGACUUAUGCUGUCACAUUUUGCUCUUUCACCAUAUUUGGUUUCCUGUAAUGGUCUUCUUGUUAUGUCUCUCUUUUUUUUUCUUACUUGUAUAUUUUUUCAAAGGUUAUUCUUAAUCACUGGCAUAUCUCAAAGUUUCAUCUUCUAUGUUCCUGCCUAUGAGACGACACAGUUUCUUACCUAAUGUGACUCCAUCCACUGAAGACACUGUGCCAACAGUAUAUUGUUCCACACUGCUUUCCUCCCGUCAAGUUGGUUUGUUAAAUUGAGGAGGAAAUUCUGCCUUAACCCAGCCUGUUCUAUUUGACAGCACUACCUGUGAACAGUGGUCACCCACUGUACUCUGGGGAUGCCAAAUGCUCUUGGAAACAAACACACUGAGUUUGACUCAAGCCCAUUCUGACACAAAUAUGGAUGUGGUCAUCCACCUCCAUUUUCAUUGGUUACAAGGACCAAAAUGUAAACAAACUCAGCUACACUGAGCAGUUUGCUUCAAUCAAGUGUACAAUGAGAGCCUUUAAAGUGUUCAUAUUUAGCCAUAGGUAAUUUAUACACCUUUGAUCUUUAUAUCAUGAACCACUACAUUCCCAGCUUCAUUGUAUAAUUUCACUGUUUUCGUUUGUUGUCAUCCGAAAUUAAUCCAUCACAAUAUAUUUAAGAUUUUAAAUUUGCAAUGAAAGAAAUAACCAUGUCUUUUUAUUAUUUAAACAAACUGAGUCACUGUUUUCUGUCCUUUUGUUUCAAACAGAGAUGUAACUUAACUGAAUUAGCGUUGGCUCGGGUCCGUUUUCCUGAUUCGGGAUGAUAUUUCCCGUAGUGCUCCUGAACUCUGUAGUUCUCUAGUUCAUUAUAUUCUGCUUAGACUAAAAUAAAGCACAGUCCUGUAGAA